AUUUAUGUAUGUAUGUAUAUAUGUACGUUUGAUGACAAAUAUGCUUCUAGUUUUCCAAAGACUGGAAUAAUCUACAUGAUAUCACCACUGAAGUCUCAUCUUAACUG
This is a long non-coding RNA of Octopus sinensis (East Asian common octopus), 107 nucleotides long. RefSeq lists it as uncharacterized. The transcript has 3 exons. NCBI's taxonomy places the organism in Eukaryota, Metazoa, Mollusca, Cephalopoda, Octopoda, Octopodidae. The record is from RefSeq and is a predicted model, not a curated record.